Molecule: ribosomal RNA, 497 nt
Filed under: uncultured bacterium
Lineage: Bacteria
Description: partial 16S ribosomal RNA
Rfam family: Bacterial small subunit ribosomal RNA
Source: RNAcentral
GAUGAACGCUGGCGGCGUGCCUAAUACAUGAAAGUCGAGCGAACGGACGAGAAGCUUGCUUCUCUGAUGUUAGCGGCGGACGGGUGAGUAACACGUGGAUAACCUACCUAUAAGACUGGGAUAACUUCGGGAAACCGGAGCUAAUACCGGAUAAUAUUUUGAACCGCAUGGUUCAAAAGUGAAAGACGGUCUUGCUGUCCCUUAUAGAUGGAUCCGCGCUGCAUUAGCUAGUUGGUAAGGUAACGGCUUACCAAGGCACCGAUGCAUAGCCGACCUGAGAGGGGGAUCGGCCACACGGGAGCUGAGACACGGUCCAGACUCCUACGGGAGGCAGCAGUAGGGAAUCUUCCGCAAAGGGCGAAAGCCUGACGGAGCAACGCCGCGUGAGUGAUGAAGGUCUUCGGAUCGUAAAACUCUGUUAUUAGGGAAGAACAUAUGUGUAAGUAACUGUGCACAUCUUGACGGUACCUAAUCAGAAAGCCACGGCUAACUACGUG